UCUGGCCAGGUGUGGCAGGUACCUAUAGUCCUAGCUACUUGGAAGACUGAGGCAGGAGGAUCACUUGAGCCCAGGAUUUCAGGGCCAGCCUAUGCAACAUAGUGAGACCCUGUUUCUU
Molecule: small RNA, 118 nt
Filed under: Marmota monax (woodchuck)
Lineage: Eukaryota; Metazoa; Chordata; Mammalia; Rodentia; Sciuridae
Source: RNAcentral